UUAAUUUAUUCUUUAUUUUAAUGGUCAGCAUUUGACUGAUACUAAACAGUAAUACUGAUGUUUAUUUAGCUAUUUAUUUUAAUUUAUUCUUUAUUUUAAUGGUCAGUCAUUGACUGAUACUAAACAGUACUGAUGUUUAUUUAGCUAUUUAUUUUAUUUGAAUUUAUUCUUUAUUUUAAUGAUCAGCAUUUGACUGAUACUAAACAGUACUGAUAUUUAUUUAGCUAUUUAUUGUAUUUUUAUUCUUUAUUUAAAUGGUCAGCAAUUGACUGAUACUAAACACAGUACUGAUGUUAAUUAAGCUAUUUAUUUAACUUUUAUUUAUUCUUUAUUUUAAUGGUGGGCAAUUGACUUGUACUAAACAUACAGUACAGAUUUUUAUUUAGCUAUUUAUUGUAUUUUUAUUCUUUAUUUAAAUGGUCAGCAAUUGACUGAUACUAAACAUACAGUACUGCUUUUUAUUUUAUUUAUUUUAUUCUUAAUUUAAAUGGUCAGCAAUUGGCUUAUACUAACAGUACUGAUGUUUAUUAAGCUAUUUAUUUUAUUUUUAUUUAUUCAUAAAUUUAAUGGUCUGCAUUUGACUGAUACUAAACAGUAAUACUGAUGUUUAUUUAGCUAUUUAUUUUAAUUUAUUUUUUAUUUUAAUGGUCAGGCAUUGACUGAUACUAAACAGUACUGAUGUUUAUUUAGCUAUUUAUUGUAUUUUUAUUCUUUAUUUAAAUGGUCAGCAAUUGACAUACCAAACAUACAAUACUGAUGUUAAUGAAGCUAUUUAUUUAAUUUUUAUUUAUUCUUUAUUUUAAUGGUGGGCAGUUGACUUAUACUAAACAUACAGUACAGAUUUUUAUUUAGCUAUUUAUUGUAUUUUUAUUCUUUAUUUAAAUGGUCAGCAAUUGACUGAUACUAAACAUACAGUACUGAUUUUUUUAUUAAGGUCUGUUUUCAUUCCCGCUCAAAAAUGAGCAAUAUCGUCACCAUAUCGGUAAUCGGUGAAUUUUCCCUCUCUAAAAUCGGUAUCAGUCUCAAAAAUCCCAUAUCGGUCAGGGUUCACUCUGUACUUGUACUCUGCACAAUGACAAUAAAGUUUAAUCUAAUCUAAAAAAGAAAGUCUCCAAAACUACAAUCAGACGUCACCUACAUCACCACAAGUUAUUUGGGAGGGUUUCAAGAAAAAAGCCUCUGCUCUCAUCCAGCAACAAACUCAAGCGUUUUCAGUUUGCCAGACACUACUGGAACAUCAAAUUGGACUGGGGUCUAUGGUCAGACGAAACAAAAAUAGAGCUUUUUGGCAGUAAACACCAGAGAUGUGUUUGGUGCACAAAGAGAGUUAGCCAUAUGGAAAAGUACCUCAUGCCCACAGUUAAAUAUGGUGGUGGAUCUUUAAUGUUGUGGGGCUGUUUUUAUGCCAGAGGUCCUGGACAUCUUGUUUGGAUACAUGGCAUCAUGGACUCUAUCAAAUACCAACCGAUAAAAAAAUCAACCUGACUGCCUGACACUGAUUGUGGUAGGAUAACCCUGAUGACAAUGAUCCAAAACACAUCAAAAUCAACACAAAAAUAGUUCGCUGACCACAAAAUCAAGGUUCUGCCAUGGCCAUCCCAGUCCUCUGACCUGAACCCCAUAGAAAACCUGUGGGGUAAACUGAAGAGGAGAGUCCACCAUGUGGACCUCAGAAUUUGAAGGAUCUGGAGAGAUUCUGUAUAGAGCCAUGUGUUCUCCAACCUCAUUAGGCAUUAUAGAAGACUCAGAGCUGUUAUCUUGGCAAAGGGAGGUUGCACAAAGUAUUGAAUAAAAGGGUGCCAAUAAUUGUGCCACACAUAUAUUUGACAAAAAUAUUUUUUUUUGGAUAAAACUUGUGUUGUGUUUGGAAUUGUUUGAUAUCUAUUGUGGAUAGAUUUUUGUGAAUAUUUUGAAUGAAAGGCCAAAAGGAUAAACAAUAAGGAUAUAUUUUUCACAGCCUUCUUUUCUCAUAUUUACCAAGGGUGACAAUAUUUUUGGCCACCAGUAUAUAUGUUUCAGAAUAUAAGUAUUUGACUAAUCUCUUUUUAUUUUCUCAAGGUGGUUUUGUAAUGAUUGAUGGUCAAAUAGGUGUGUAUUUCUCUGAGAGCUGGGAACCCAAUAGCAGCACUUUGUACCUGCCUGUUAAUGGCACGUUGUUAGCCAACAUCGAAAAAUAUAAUUAGAUCAGCUUUGAGCAGGGCUGCUUCUGCAUUGGUAAUGCGACAGGUGGAUUUCAAAAGAAGGUCCAAGGUAAGACUGAAUUGUUUGUGAAUAUAUAAAAAGAUUUUUGCAUUUGUAGUUCACUUUUCAAAUAAUUUGCCUGCUAUGCCAUUGGUGGUGGGCAAUUUUCCCAGUAAUUUGGCAAUAACUUAAUACUCUUGAUAUAACUUAAUACUGUGCUGACACUUUUCUUUAUUGAUUUUAUAUUCCCCAGUGCAUGUAUUCUCAGCUUUUAAACUUGACUCUGUCUCUGUUUACUGGUGUAGGUCAAGUCAUUUCUGGCGGUAUAGUGAACACGAACGAAAGCUUUUUAUUUCACUCUCUUGCUUGUUUACAAAUUACAAGUUUUUGAGGAAGCUAUGAGCACUCUUGAAUCAAACAGAGUUGGCAACUGCCAUUUCAGCUAUGCUAUAAAGCACAGAUCAAUUCUGUGUUAUUUUUCAUAGCCCUGACUUUUCCCUUCCUUGUUACGGUGUCUUCUUCAGUUUUCAGUUAUUCAAUUUUUUUUAACAAUGUUUGUUAUAUAUAUUGUGAUUGCCUUAUACCAACGUCCCAACGGUUGUGGCGAAAGACACAAAUAUGCUCAGUAUAUUUCUAUGCUAUGCUUUGAUGUAACAGUGCCUGGUUCUAGUAUAAUAGUUAAUUGGCUUCCAAUGUCAGAAAUGGUAGAUAUCAACCCAUAUGUAUUUAGUUAAUGUUGAGCAACAUAGCCACUGCUUUGUUUUUGUAUGAUCAACUCUGUAAUAAGUAAUUCUGAUGCUGCAGCUCUUGCUAUGAACCAAAAUGUAACAUUUUGAUUAUAUAGUUAAGCCUAUGCCUGUCAUGUGACAUUUGAUGCCUGAUGCUUAUUUUGUUGCACAUUAUGAAAAUAGUUGUAAACUGCUUUUACUGUCUUUUUUUAUGUUUUUAUUUAUUUAUUUAUUCCAAAUAAAA
This is a long non-coding RNA of Myxocyprinus asiaticus (Chinese sucker), 3153 nucleotides long. RefSeq lists it as uncharacterized. The record is from RefSeq and is a predicted model, not a curated record. The transcript is spliced from 2 exons. NCBI's taxonomy places the organism in Eukaryota, Metazoa, Chordata, Actinopteri, Cypriniformes, Catostomidae.